UGAGCACUAUGAAAUUGACCGUUGUACAUUUUAUGAUGGAAAUCUUCUGUUCCACUUGUGGUUUUAUAUGCUCUAAUAAAACAAUCUUUUUCAAUAUAAAACGUAUUAUAAAAAUUAAAAUGUAAAUUAUCUAGGGCUAAUUGAUGGUUCACUUGCCCAUAGUUCCCACGGAAAAAGACAACCAGGUUCUAUCGUGUUCUAAAAAAAAACCUGAAAAAUCGUAUUCAUAACAUGGCAACAUAUAGCAUUCAAACACAAUACGGACUUGGGCAAAAAACAAGUCGAAACUAAUUUAAUAUCGAACAAUGAACGUGCGGAAUCGUGUUCUUCCAGGAAUUAGUAGGUUGGAUAAUAAGUCAACUAACUAUACAGCCUUACGAUUUCAACUUUAUUCACAAAACGUUCAUUGUGUGCGUCGAACAGUGUUCCGAUCAGUUGGAAAGAGAUCUAACAAAGUUUGAAUGCAAUACUCAUAUGGUGUGUUCCGUCCGAACCGUUUUCUAUGGGAAUAUCAAUAUAAUAUAAACGUAGAAUACAUAAGCAACGUCAGCAGUAAACGAACCGAUUUGUUGCAAUAAAUAAUGCAACGCGAUUCAAUGAUGUCAGAAGUUACCUUGUGUAGAACUCGGAACUUAUUCUCAAAAGUACAAACUAAAUAUAAUUCGGCUACAGCAAAAACUCACCUGAAGCUGAAGAUUAGAACAUUUUAUCGUAUAACUCCACCUCAAAAAUAAUAAAGCCUCACAUUUUAUUAUAAAACCAAUACAUUCAACUUUCCAUUCAGAAUCAAAAUGAUACAUUGUUACAUACGCUCAAAAAAUAUAAGUAUGUGUUCAUUCAUACAGUUGUUUACAUAAAAUACCAAUACUAUCGUGACAUAUUUAUUUACGAACUAAUUGCUCAUAUAAGAAGAGGUCAUCAAAAAACUUGUACCACGGAUCAGUAUUUGCAUAGAUCGAGAAAGUGAUUACGUGAAAUAUUUUACAUAGGUAUAAAUUAACA
This is a long non-coding RNA of Aphis gossypii (cotton aphid), 1002 nucleotides long. RefSeq lists it as uncharacterized. The record is from RefSeq and is a predicted model, not a curated record. The transcript has 4 exons. Lineage: Eukaryota; Metazoa; Arthropoda; Insecta; Hemiptera; Aphididae.